This 463-nucleotide ribosomal RNA is filed under the name uncultured bacterium. Its description in RNAcentral is "partial 16S ribosomal RNA". It matches the Rfam family "Bacterial small subunit ribosomal RNA", at positions 28 to 507 of the family's 1533-position model. The record is from RNAcentral.
GACGAACGCUGGCGGCGUGCUUAACACAUGCAAGUCGAACGGUAAGGCCCUUCGGGGUACACGAGUGGCGAACGGGUGAGUAACACGUGAGUAAUGUGCCCUUGACUCUGGGAUAACAGCCGGAAACGGUUGCUAAUACCGGAUAUCCACAUGUGCCUGCAUGGGUGUGUGUGGAAAGCUUUUGCGGUCUUGGAUCAACUCGCGGCCUAUCAGCUUGUUGGUGGGGUAAUGGCCUACCAAGGCUUCGACGGGUAGCCGGCCUGAGAGGGCGACCGGCCACACUGGGACUGAGAUACGGCCCAGACUCCUACGGGAGGCAGCAGUGGGGAAUAUUGCACAAUGGGCGGAAGCCUGAUGCAGCAACGCCGCGUGCGGGAUGACGGCCUUCGGGUUGUAAACCGCUUUCAGUAGGGACGAAGCGCAAGUGACGGUACCUACAGAAGAAGCACCGGCCAACUACGUG